This 268-nucleotide unclassified non-coding RNA is filed under the name Hevea brasiliensis (rubber tree). The record is from RNAcentral. Lineage: Eukaryota; Viridiplantae; Streptophyta; Magnoliopsida; Malpighiales; Euphorbiaceae.
GUUGUUUUGGACUUAAUUCAGAUCCAAAACUUCUGUAAAUUCUGGAACUAAGGUUGUUCAGACAUAUAUGGGAUGGCCCAUGUAGCUAGCAGGCCCAAUUUAGUAUGUCCGGUUUUUUUGUUAGUUUUGUUCAUCUUCACUGUUCUGUGGAACGUACGGGUGCCGACAGCCUUCAGGUGUUGUUUUUCAAGCAAUUGUAUCCGUUUUCAGAAAAUUAAAGGAAGUUUGGGGGGAAAAAUAAAUAACUAUGAAACAAGGAAGUGAUCGG